GGGCCCGCACAAGCGGUGGAGUAUGUGGUUUAAUUCGAUGCAACGCGAAGAACCUUACCAGGGUUUGACAUCCUGCGAAUCUCUUGGAAACGAGAGAGUGCCUUCGGGAACGCAGUGACAGGUGGUGCAUGGCUGUCGUCAGCUCGUGUCGUGAGAUGUUGGGUUAAGUCCCGCAACGAGCGCAACCCACGUCUUUAGUUGCCAGCAUUUAGUUGGGCACUCUAGAGAGACCGCCGGUGAUAAACCGGAGGAAGGUGUGGAUGACGUCAAGUCAUCAUGCCCCUUACAUCCUGGGCUACACACGUGCUACAAUGGUAUCUACAACAGGAAGCAAGACGGCGACGUUAAGCAAAUCCUUAAAAGAUACCUCAGUUCGGAUUGCACUCUGCAACUCGAGUGCAUGAAGCUGGAAUUACUAGUAAUCGUGGAUC
RNAcentral lists this ribosomal RNA (431 nucleotides) under uncultured bacterium. Its description in RNAcentral is "bacterial SSU rRNA". It matches the Rfam family "Bacterial small subunit ribosomal RNA", at positions 917 to 1350 of the family's 1533-position model. The record is from RNAcentral.